Helianthus annuus (common sunflower) is the source of this 598-nucleotide long non-coding RNA. RefSeq lists it as uncharacterized. The record is from RefSeq and is a predicted model, not a curated record. NCBI's taxonomy places the organism in Eukaryota, Viridiplantae, Streptophyta, Magnoliopsida, Asterales, Asteraceae. The transcript is spliced from 3 exons.
GAAUCGUUUCUUCUCCUCACGACCCUCUAUGUCUUUGUUAUCAUCGUUUGGACUUUGGAGGACAUGAAAUAGCGAGAACAAAGAGAAGGGACUGAGCGUAGACCUCUGGCAACCGAUGAUAACAAAGCAAUAAGUUGUUUUCUAAAAGCUUAGCCAAACAUGCCCGAAAUCUCCGAUCAUUGGGAUUUGAACAGUUGCGACGGCGGUGUAUUCUUCAUCAGAAUCGGUAGGGCUGGGGUAAGUUUUCGGGUUCGAUUGUUCCAAUUGCGUGUCUCUUUCAUUGAGGACGUAUGUGACUUGUUGGAUAACAAAUGGGUAGAAUGGGCAAACAUCAACCGGAAUCGAGUGUAUACUAAACCCAGUUUCCCAGGUGGAAUAUGAAGUUCUAAACUUGCAUGAUCCGGAACAUGCUCAGAUCACUGUUUUCAGGCACUGUGGACUCUCAUUUUUUUGGAAUCCUUGUAAAAACGUUGAGAUCAUGUGUUGUACUUGUUAAAGAUCAUUACCCAACCCGGCUUGGGUGUUUACUUGUUAUAUGGCCCCCUCCUGUUGCCCGAGUCAUAAUUCAAACUCUAUUCCAAGUUAGCAUGUUUGAUUU